UGGGGAAUAUUGGACAAUGGGCGAAAGCCUGAUCCAGCCAUGCCGCGUGUGUGAAGAAGGUCUUCGGAUUGUAAAGCACUUUAAGUUGGGAGGAAGGGCAGUAAGCGAAUACCUUGCUGUUUUGACGUGACCGACAGAAUAAGCACCGGCUAACUCUGUGCCAGCAGCCGCGGUAAUACAGAGGGUGCAAGCGUUAAUCGGAAUUACUGGGCGUAAAGCGCGCGUAGGUGGUUCGUUAAGUUGAAUGUGAAAGCCCCGGGCUCAACCUGGGAACUGCAUCCAAAACUGGCGAGCUAGAGUAGGGCAGAGGGUGGUGGAAUUUCCUGUGUAGCGGUGAAAUGCGUAGAUAUAGGAAGGAACACCAGUGGCGAAGGCGACCACCUGGGCUCAUACUGACACUGAGGUGCGAAAGCGUGGGGAGCAAACAGG
Molecule: ribosomal RNA, 429 nt
Filed under: Pseudomonadota bacterium
Lineage: Bacteria; Pseudomonadati; Pseudomonadota
Description: Proteobacteria bacterium partial 16S ribosomal RNA
Rfam family: Bacterial small subunit ribosomal RNA
Source: RNAcentral